This 335-nucleotide unclassified non-coding RNA is filed under the name soil metagenome. RNAcentral describes it as "partial contains 5.8S ribosomal RNA, internal transcribed spacer 2, and large subunit ribosomal RNA". The stretch from base 1 to 120 matches the Rfam family "5.8S ribosomal RNA", at positions 35 to 154 of the family's 154-position model. The record is from RNAcentral.
GAUGAAGAACGUAGCGAAAUGCGAUAAGUAAUGUGAAUUGCAGAAUUCAGUGAAUCAUCGAAUCUUUGAACGCACAUUGCGCCCGCCAGUAUUCUGGCGGGCAUGCCUGUUCGAGCGUCAUUUCAACCAUCAAGCCCCGGGCUUGUGUUGGGGACCUGCGGCUGCCGCAGGCCCUGAAAAGCAGUGGCGGGCUCGCUGUCACACCGAGCGUAGUAGCAUACAUCUCGCUCUGGGCGUGCUGCGGGUUCCGGCCGUUAAACCACCUUUUAACCCAAGGUUGACCUCGGAUCAGGUAGGAAGACCCGCUGAACUUAAGCAUAUCAAAAAGCGGAGGA